UGUGGCUCAGGGUAGGGCACUUGCCUACCAUGCAGAAGACCCUGGGUUCAAUCCCCAGCA
RNAcentral lists this transfer RNA (60 nucleotides) under Ictidomys tridecemlineatus (thirteen-lined ground squirrel). RNAcentral's name for it is "Spermophilus tridecemlineatus (thirteen-lined ground squirrel) tRNA". It matches the Rfam family "tRNA", at positions 6 to 65 of the family's 71-position model. Rfam says of the family: Transfer RNA (tRNA) molecules are approximately 80 nucleotides in length. Their secondary structure includes four short double-helical elements and three loops (D, anti-codon, and T loops). Lineage: Eukaryota; Metazoa; Chordata; Mammalia; Rodentia; Sciuridae. The record is from Rfam by way of RNAcentral.